CCUACGGGAGGCAGCAGUGGGGAAUAUUGGACAAUGGGGGCAACCCUGAUCCAGCCAUGCCGCGUGUGUGAAGAAGGCCCUCGGGUUGUAAAGCACUUUCAGUGAGGAAGAACGCCUGGUGGUUAAUACCCAUCAGGAAAGACAUCACUCACAGAAGAAGCACCGGCUAACUCCGUGCCAGCAGCCGCGGUAAUACUGAGGGUGCGAGCGUUAAUCGGAAUUACUGGGCGUAAAGCGCGCGUAGGUGGCUUGAUAAGCCGGUUGUGAAAGCCCCGGGCUCAACCUGGGAACGGCAUCCGGAACUGUCAAGCUAGAGUGCAGGAGAGGAAGGUAGAAUUCCCGGUGUAGCGGUGAAAUGCGUAGAGAUCGGGAGGAAUACCAGUGGCGAAGGCGGCCUUCUGGACUGACACUGACACUGAGGUGCGAAAGCGUGGGUAGCAAACAGGAUUAGAUACCCCAGUAGUC
This 465-nucleotide ribosomal RNA is filed under the name Vreelandella stevensii. RNAcentral's name for it is "partial 16S ribosomal RNA". It matches the Rfam family "Bacterial small subunit ribosomal RNA", at positions 338 to 795 of the family's 1533-position model. Lineage: Bacteria; Pseudomonadati; Pseudomonadota; Gammaproteobacteria; Oceanospirillales; Halomonadaceae. The record is from RNAcentral.